UGCUCCUACGGGACGCAGCAGUGAGGAAUAUUGGUCAAUGGGCGGAAGCCUGAACCAGCCACGUCGCGUGAGGGAAUAAGGCCCUACGGGUCGUAAACCUCUUUUGCCGGGGAGCAAGGGCCGGGACGUGUCCCGGCCCGGAGAGUACCCGGAGAAAAAGCAUCGGCUAACUCCGUGCCAGCAGCCGCGGUAAUCCGGAGGAUGCGAGCGUUAUCCGGAUUUAUUGGGUUUAAAGGGUGCGUAGGCGGGCUCUUAAGUCAGCGGCA
RNAcentral lists this ribosomal RNA (266 nucleotides) under uncultured bacterium. Its description in RNAcentral is "partial 16S ribosomal RNA". It matches the Rfam family "Bacterial small subunit ribosomal RNA", at positions 334 to 596 of the family's 1533-position model. The record is from RNAcentral.